UGCAGUCGAACGGCAGCACGGGAGCAAUCCUGGUGGCNAGUGGCGAACGGGUGAGUAAUACAUCGGAACGUGUCCUGUAGUGGGGGAUAGCCCGGCGAAAGCCGGAUUAAUACCGCAUACNCUCUGCGGAGGAAAGCGGGGGAUCCUUCNGGACCUCGNGCUACNGGGGCGGCCGAUGGCAGAUUAGCUAGUUGGUGGGGUAAAGGCCUACCAAGGCGACNAUCUGUAGCUGGUCUGAGAGGACNACCANCCNCNCUGGGACUGAGACACGGNCCAUACUCCUACGGGAGGCAGCAUUGGGGAAUUUUGGACAAUGGGCGCAAGCCUGAUCCAGCAAUGCCGCGUGUGUGAAGAAGGNCUUGAGGUUGUAAAGCACUUUUGUCCGGAAAGAAAACCNUCUGGCUAAUAUCCGGGCGGGAUGACGGGACCGGAAGAAUAAGCACCGNNUAACUACGUGCCANCAGCCGCGGUAAUACGUAGGGUGCAAGCGUUAAUCGNAAUUACUGGGCGUAAAGCNUGCGCAGGCGGUUCNCUAANACAGAUGUGAAAUCCCCGGGCUUAACCUGNGAACUGCAUUUGUGACUGGCGGGNUANAGUAUGGCANAGGGGGGUAGAAUUCCACGUGUAGCAAUGAAAUGCGUAGAGAUGUGGAGGAAUACCGAU
This 663-nucleotide ribosomal RNA is filed under the name Paraburkholderia caledonica. RNAcentral describes it as "partial 16S ribosomal RNA". It matches the Rfam family "Bacterial small subunit ribosomal RNA", at positions 56 to 713 of the family's 1533-position model. Lineage: Bacteria; Pseudomonadati; Pseudomonadota; Betaproteobacteria; Burkholderiales; Burkholderiaceae. The record is from RNAcentral.